RNAcentral lists this ribosomal RNA (253 nucleotides) under uncultured bacterium. Its description in RNAcentral is "partial 16S ribosomal RNA". It matches the Rfam family "Bacterial small subunit ribosomal RNA", at positions 524 to 776 of the family's 1533-position model. The record is from RNAcentral.
UACGAGGGGUGCAAGCGUUGCUCGGAAUUAUUGGGCGUAAAGGGUAUGUAGGUGGUCUCAUUUGUCUGGGGUGAAAGCCUUGAGCUUAACUCAAGAAGUGCCCCAGAAACGGUGAGACUGGAGUCCUGGAGAGGGUCGUGGAAUUCCCGGUGUAGCGGUGAAAUGCGUAGAGAUCGGGAGGAACACCAGAGGCGAAAGCGGCGACCUGGACAGGUACUGACACUCAACUACGAAAGCGUGGGGAGCAAACAGG